This 253-nucleotide ribosomal RNA is filed under the name uncultured bacterium. RNAcentral's name for it is "partial 16S ribosomal RNA". It matches the Rfam family "Bacterial small subunit ribosomal RNA", at positions 524 to 776 of the family's 1533-position model. The record is from RNAcentral.
UACGUAGGGGGCGAGCGUUGUCCGGAAUUACUGGGCGUAAAGCGCGUGUAGGCUGCUCCACAAGUCGGAUGUGAAAGCCCUGGGCUCAACCUAGGAAGUGCAUUCGAUACUGUGGAGCUGGAGUCCUGGAGAGGAAGGCGGAAUUCUCGGUGUAGAGGUGAAAUUCGUAGAUAUCGAGAGGAACACCGGUGGCGAAGGCGGCCUUCUGGACAGUGACUGACGCUGAGACGCGAAAGCGUGGGGAGCGAACAGG